Hermetia illucens (black soldier fly) is the source of this 254-nucleotide long non-coding RNA. RefSeq lists it as uncharacterized. The record is from RefSeq and is a predicted model, not a curated record. Lineage: Eukaryota; Metazoa; Arthropoda; Insecta; Diptera; Stratiomyidae. The transcript is spliced from 2 exons.
AUUUUUAAAUAGAUUUUUGGAUUUUUAGUUAAUUUUGGCAAUUGGAUGCAAUUCAAGAAACGCAUUGGAAAUUAUGUCUGAUUAUAUAGUGCAAACCGAUUAUAAAGUACCUAGAGCAGACUACAACAAAAAGAACGUUAAAAGGCUUUUGCUAACACCACUAUGCAGCAAGCUUAUUUUGAUAGUUUUAUUGUCGUCAGCUGUGUUUCAUCAGAACUAGCAUAGAAAAUAUAUUACAGAUGAAAUCUAUUGCA